This is a non-coding RNA of Coturnix japonica (Japanese quail), 14519 nucleotides long. Lineage: Eukaryota; Metazoa; Chordata; Aves; Galliformes; Phasianidae. The record is from RefSeq and is a predicted model, not a curated record.
ACAACUAACUGGCUGAGGUAUGAAAAUUGCUGAAGGGCAUUUUCUAUCACACUUUGGGCAGCUGCACACGAAAUUGAUGGAAAAUUACCUUCCCAAGCUAACAGCUGAUUGUCUGCCUCAUCACCUGAACUUCAAAAUAACUCUUAUUAUUCAGUACGAGAAUGAUCAGAGAACUAGAAAACAUGACCUGCAAUGAAAGAUUGAACUAAUUGGCUCUGUGCAAUCUGUGGAAGAGAAAAUGAAGCAGAGACAUGGUAAUAGUUUUCAAAUACAUAAAAGGCUGCUGCAGAGAAGAAGGCGGCACUUUGUUUUCUGCAUCCAUAGUGGAUAGGACAAAAAACAGUGGGCUUUGUAGCAAAAAUGGAUUCUGGUAAGACAUUGGGUAGCUCAGUUAAAGAUAGUAAAGUGAUGGAAUAGUCUGCUUGAGAAAGAUCCAUCAGGAGAGUUCUUAAAUGAGAGUUCAGAUAAAUGUGCAAUGGGUUGCCUGAUCUGCUGUAGGUGACGUUUUAUGGUGCUUUCCAGCUCUCUUUUCUAACUUUCACCUGCACUCAUGAAGGCUGUGUUUCUGUUAUAGAAAGCCUCCUGUCUCUCAAAUUUCAGUUAAUGGCAAUUCUGUCUUUGGCAUCCAUCAGAAGAGGAUUGGGCCUUUACGUGUGGCCAGCAGAUCAAGGGAGGUGACCCUGCCCCUCUACUCUGUGCUGGUGAAACCUCACCUAGAGUACUGCAUCCAGAUGUGGAGUCCUCAGUACAGGAGCAUGCACAGAGGAGGCCACAAAAUGGAUCCAAGGGAUGGAACACCUCUCCUAUGAGGACAGGCUGAGAGAGCUGGAGCUGUUCAGCCUGGAGAAUAGAAGGCUCUGUGGAAAACCUGUUUUUGCCUUUCAGUAUUUAAAGGGAGGGCUGUGGGAAAGAAGGGGACAGACCCAUCCUUGAUGACAUUCAAGAUCAAAUUGGAUGGGACUCUGAGCAUCCUCAUCUAGCUGUUUGCGUUUCUGUUCACUGCAGGGGAGUUGGACUAGAUGGCCUUUAAUGGUUCCUUCCAUCUCAAAGGAUUCUAUGAUUCUUUCAAGAAUGGAGUACCAGUGAGGAUGUACAGAUAAAUAUUUCUGAAUGUCUUUUCUUCUUCAUACAUGUUAAGUCUUGCUUAAUCUCAUGGGAUAAUACUGUGGGUGAAUGAUGAGUAGUACAUAGAGUAAUGGCCUCACAAACUAAAGUCUUGGGUAAGAAAAAAAUACCGAUAAUGUUGCAAGCACUUCAGGAAUAUGCAAAACCUCUAAGUAUUUUUAUAUCAGGGACUUCUUAUAUUAACUCCAUACCCUAUCCCUUGUUGGUAAAAUCAGGGAACAAAGAUAUGUAAUCAUAUUUUCUGAAUAUCACAUGACAUGCAUUUGUAGAAUUCCUCUGCUACCAAAGGAUGAGCGUCCCAGUGGGAACCAAGCCAAAGAAGCCUACAGUACUGUGGGGUGUAAUGGAAAUCUAGCAGACUUCUGCAAGAUUGCACAUCUUUGUGCAAGGAGGCAGGGAGAAAUAUCUGGUUAAAAUACAAAGGAAAUUACAGUUGGGGGGGGCAUUGAUAUGUUUGGAUCAGCCAUUUUAAGCACCUCUGUUUAUUUACUUUUAGGCUUUCGAAUUAUCUGUUGAUAGAAUUAGUCUUUUUUUGCAAACUCUCUAAAUGACGUGGUUACCUAACUUAGCUCCUAAAUUAUAUGAUAUGAAAACCUCCCUUUGUAAUUAUCCUGGUACUUGACUGCUGUGCUUUGUUUAACAUCCCAGCUGAUGAGCGAUGAUUUCCUGAAUCCAGAACUGAUGAUCCUUGAUCUUCGGAGAAAAUUGCAUCACUAGUUGGAUUUCAGUAACACUGCUUGCAGCCGGCUUCUGGUCCAAUCAGCACUACUACCAGCUGAAGCAUCUGGAAAUAUGGUCUUAGUAUUUUGCAGUUUGCUCAGGGGAGAGCAAUAAUAGUAGUAAUAUAAACUAGCUAUAAGACUGGAUUAUUUUAAUCCAGCCUUGAUUCACUUGCACCUGCUAUUUCUCAUGUGCCUGGAUUAUCUGAUGUAUAAAUGUGAUAUAAGAAGCAUUUGAUCUGUAUGUUCCAUAGCGUGCCCCUAAUUUGAGGUGAAUGGAACUCUUUGUAGUUGCAGGAUGAUUACAGACCAACAGCUGACUGCUUCUCAGAUAGCAUGGCUGUGAAUACUUGCUUCUCAAAAGAGCAAUACUGGAAGAAAGAAGAGGCAUUUCUGAGUUUCACAUUACUCCUACCUAGGAGAGCCAUAUGGAAUCCUGAUAAACUGGGAAAUGUGUCAGCACAAUGAGCCCUUACAGUGAUUCAUCUCUCUUCUAACAUGAUUGGUAAUGAAAUGCCAUGGUAAGAUAACAGCCCAAGAGCCUGUUUGGAGCAAACUCAUUUGGCAGAGAUUCCUUACAGAGUCAACCAAGUAAGAGCCCAACGGGCAGAAAUCAGAGUGUGAGAUGUGGAUAUUAUUCUCUCAUAUCUUGCUGAUUUACAGCAUUUCACAGCCAUUCUAGCAGAGACACCUACAGCUUCAAAUUCUUAAAUACUAACAAAGGAGAACUUCUUAAGUAGAAAUUUCCACCAUAAAGUUUAGAGCACAUCAUAAGCCCAUGGUUGCUCCACAUGGACAUGAAAGUGAAAUUCCCUCAGUCAAAGGGUUUUGGAAGUUAUUAGAAGAAUUCCAGGUUUCAGCCAGAAAACAAGCUGGUGUUCAAAGCACUUAAGCAUAUAUGUCAAAGGCAUUAGUACAUGCUUAAAGUCAACCCCUUCCCUGGCCUUAAUUGAUGCCUUUGCCUUCAAAAUUAUUAAAAGCUAUAUCAAGGCCUACUCUGCAGUCCUGCAGAUAAAUUGGAGGCUCCUGCUGAUUUCAGUGGGAUCUCAAUGGUGUCUUGCUUGCUUUAUCUUUUAGUCAUGGCACUGUUAGGUUUAAAUCUUUAGUGCUACCCUUACUUUCAUUUUCUACUACUUCUCUGAUGGAUCUUUGUGGGGAUUUACUGUCAUCAGUGGCCUACUGAUAGAUCUUGUGACAAAAUUAUAUUCUUUAGCUCUCAGUUGUCAAGAAGCUCUAUUCUCCCUCUCACCAUCAACCCUUCCCCCUGCCACAGGCCUCCCCCCCAGGAGUUAUUGGAAGAGUUUCCAAUUCAGGCAACAAAGUAAUUAAGAGCACAGGAUUUAACACUGACUGUAAUAAGACUAUCCAUUCAAAUUUGACUUGCAUUACUUAAUUUUGAUUUUCCCCUGAAACACAUUUACAAGGCCAGACGGGUGUAUUAUCUCAGCAUACUGUUCAUUAUCAAGCAUGACUGGAACAGGUGGCAACAUACUGACGUGUCUUUAAUAGAACAGAAGUUUGAAUGCAUAUUUCAAAACUGGGCAAAUGAUUUCCUUUGUAACACCAUCAAAACAUGAGCAGUGACAAUUUCAGGAAUAUGUUACCUUAUCCCAUCUUACUUUCAUGUCCAGCACCUGCCAACUGGUCUGUUACUUCUCAGACUCUUGCAGUCUUCAUCAAAUCCUGCUGUCUGUGUUUGGAGAAAUGGAAUAAGUAGUCCUGGUAUGUAACUUAUCAGCAUGUAGCUCUGCAUGGGCUGAAUGACUGCUGGGUGACUGUCACCUUAGCCUUCUGGAUCUUUCAGCCCAUUUGCAGCCAGUGAUAGUUGUUUGCACCUCAAAUACUCAGCCUGGAAGUCAGCCUUGCGCCAACAUAUUCCUACACUGCUGGAGAGUGGAGUCAGUCCAAGAUGGCUCUAGCUGUGACUGUAUUACUUUGUCGUUUCUCUCACUUGGAAACCUGGACAGUUCAUGUAUCUUAUACAUCGAUGUGUCAUACUCCUAGCUGCAUGCCUUCAUUUUCCUAGGGCAAAUAUAGAAAAGAUGGAAGGUUUAUUAAUGCUACUGUCAUUAGGUGCAUUCAGAUAUUGAACCCAGGUGUUGGUGGCCCAGUUCUCUAUACAAUCUAAAGAAGGAGGAAGGUGUGCACUUCCAAUAUGGAGCAUCAAAGUGAAAUGUGCAAGACACUCUUUGAUAGGUUGUGUUCAAGACUUCCACACUAAAAGCAUUUUAGCUUUCACUCAGUGCUAAUGAUGCUUGAAUUCCUAGUCUUUCAAACCUAGAUCCAAUUUCCAGUUACUUCAACAGCAAUAAACUAAAACCUUACAGUCUCAUUGGUUUCAGCAGAAUAAUUCAAGCCUGUAUAAAGCAAAAGUUAGGUUGGAUAUCAGGAAAAAGGUUAGGAAAGGUCAGGAAAGUUUAGGUUGGUGUAUGGGAAAUUGGUAAUCACAGCCUGAACCUCUGAUUAAUCAGCUGAGGCAAGUGUUGGGUCAGCUGUGGGAGCACAGGUGAGAGUAAUUGAGCUGUGCUCCCGGAAGGGGUGGAGCUUGACUCAACCUCCUCUAGACCUCAUUUAAGGGCUGACCACCACUAAGGCAGCUUCUCUUGGAGAUCACUCUUUGGUGGAGAUUGUCUCAGUGAUUGGUUGUCAGCAGACUGAAGGCUUCCAUGUGGUGAGUUUUUCCUGUAAAUAACCUUUUGGAUAUUUACUACCAUGUUUUCAUUAUUGUCACCGUACAGUUGGGUAUCAAGAAAAUCUUCUUUACAGGAAGGGUUGUUAAGCACUGGAGUAGGUUCCCAGGUAGGUAGUUGAGUCACCAUCCCUGGAUGUGUUUAAAUGCCAUUUGGAUGUGGUGCUCAGUGUCAUGAUUUAGCCAAGGGUUGUUGCAGUUAGGGUACUAUGGUUAGGUUGUGGCUGGACUUGGUGGUCUUCAAGGUCUUUUCCAACCUGAGCAGUUCUAUGAUUUCUUAAAGCAAACAUGAUCUAUUUAAAUUCUGAAUUUUUGAAAAGAAUAGGUAAUUAAAUAUAGCAUAAAUCAAUUUUAGAAAUCAAGUUAUUUGUAAUUCUGUAUUUUAAAGUUUUGGGUUUUUUUAUUUGUUUGAACUUCAUUGUCAGAUAAGUAGGAAUUUAAUUAAUAGAUUUCCUACAGAAUCAUCGCAAAGUAUCUUUAACCAAUAGAGUUUAUAAAACACUGUGCGUUGAUAUGAACUCUCUACAGCUCUGAAAUAUUAAUUCCACAGAACAUUGGUAGUAGUUUUAACAAUAUUUAAUCUUUGUAUUCACUUGUGUCUUCUAUUUUGUCUUGCUCUUUCCCUAUCAGAAUAGUCUCUAAACAUGUUCACAAAUGAAAUGUCAAAACACACCACAAACUGAUUUUAGCCUGCCCGAGACUAAUGUAGGAAGUGGGAAAACUAGACAUUUUGAGUAGUGUGGGCCAAUAAAAGACUUCAGAAGAGUGAAUGACCACUUGACAAAGUAAGUAAUACAUGGACUAAGCAUUCCACAUAGAUGAAGGAAAAGCCUUGAAAUGAUAGAGAUUUUAUUUUGCACUUUUUUAAAGGUGGAAUCAGUAGAGAUAUUUUGUUUGGUGCAAAAAACAAGCAAUUUUUUCAUACCAGUGUGAUAGAUCUCCAGCUUGCAGACUGGGCAGGUGACAGCACUUAGCACAUACUUCUGCAGUUGUCACUCAUCUAAACUUCUGACCUAUGUUGUCAUAUUUAAAUGUAAUUACUCUGUUACUUCAAGCUCUCAUGCUUUGGAAUCAUUUCAAGUGGUCAUAAGCACAUGAAGAAUCAAACAAGUACAGCAGAACAGUAACCUAGAAAGAUAAAUGCUUGUUCAGAACCUUAUUUGACCUGCUGCAUGUCCAGCCUAUCUUCAGCUGCUUCAUCCAGUUUCUUCUGGUUCAGGAGUUAUACAGAGAUGAUAAUACCAUGACAAGUAAAUAGCCAAGAAGGUUUGGAAACAUGGAAAAAAAAACUGUGUUGAACUUUUUACGUCAGCCUCCGUGUUAAUAAGGAAACUGACCUAUUAAUAAAUGCCACACGGCCUUAGUUAUCUCAUUGUUAACUUAAAUGAGGUUGUUACACACAGAUAUGUAAAAGCAGAAAAAGCAAGCGAUUGAGAGUUAAUGAGUUAUUCUGUGCAGGUUUUCAGAAAUCAGAUAGUACUGAAAACUCCAAGUAGUGACUGGGAGUGUAAGUUUAGUUCAUUCUUUUCUCUUUAGAGUUACUUGAUGAUGCUUUGAACACAACCCGUAUUUGGACCACAGAGCCCCUCUGCAGAAAAACACUUGUCUUUCUGUUUUGCAGGAUGGAUUGCCACCAAUUACUGGAAAUGUGUUUAGGAAAGUAUGUUAGCAAACAGCUAUGUAAUAAGCAGGACAUUGGUGUUUGCAGCAAUAAUCUACCUCCAGUCCAGUGAAGUGUCCCUUCAGACAUUUCUGACAGGUAGCAGUGAUGUUGCUAUGAUAAAUUCUUGACUCCUGACUCAGCCAUUUUAUUCUCUAGGAAGGUCUCUAAUAUAAGCAGUUGACAGUAUUUCACAUGGUUUAUUUUCCCCAUGGCUAAUUCAUUAGCUAAGACACCCAUGUUUAUUUAUUGCACCUCAAACAAACUGUGAUUUGAUGGCUCCUGGAUAGUGCAGGUCUGACUCCAUGUGCUGAUCGUGCAACUCAUACAGAUGAUUUGUUGCACUGUUGGUUGUUCAGAUGUUGCUGGUUACUUGCUUACUGCAAGUUGUUUGCCUUAGUUAUUUGAUCACAGUGUACCUGCCUGGUGAUAUACCAAUGUAAAUGGGUGUAGUACUUGGCUCUGCAUUAUCUGCAAGAGUCUCUUCAGACAAAAAUAAUAGUAAUAAUACAUGGAAUACUGUACUCAAUAAAAGGACUUGAUUAGAUCCAGAAGCCACAAGCAGUCUAAAGGCAAAAUCAACCAUUAACGACACAGCCAGAAAAAGUCUGAGGGCUGUUGACCUACCUUAAGCUGGAAAUCCCAAGGCAAUGACAUACUGUAACGACUGGCUGACAACGUGCCAUAAAUUUCACUGCCCACAUGGCAAAGCAAGGAAACUUUGUCCUUUCCUUACUUUCGAUCAAACAGGUUUGUAUGAAUGCUCAAAUCAUUCUGUAAACAAAGUAGCCUGCAAAAUGGGGUAGGAGUAUAUCCAGAACAAACCUGAGUUACUUGCAAUGGGGAGGGGAGUCUGGACUGUCUGGUCCAGAAUGCCAUAUGAGCAAUAAACAUGUUUCUCCUUGGCCAUAUAUAAUUGUCCGUGACAUAUUGUCACUCGGCCUCAAAAAUUCUUCUUAAUAGUCCAGGCGGAAAUGCUGGCUUCAUAGGGGUCACGUUUGAUGCAAGAUACAAGCAGGUGCUUUUGAAAGACUAACAGUGCAGUGUUGAAUGGCUGCAGGACUCUUCCCUCAGUUGUCUCUGUCUAAACCCCUCAAAGCUUGUGCCAUCCAGCUGGAGCCUGUGUGAACUCAGCCACUUCUCCGUGGUUUUGCAUCUUCCCUUACAAACAGCCGCCAUAAAUACUAAGAACAUUUAGCUCACAGAGAUAAAUCCUGAAUUCAAAGAGCAAAGUCUGCCAGACUGCAUAAAACCAGAGGCUGUCUCAGAGCAUAAGCACAGCUGUACCUUUGCCCAAUUUACUGAACAUUUUGAAAUGUACUUAAAUAACAGUCCUUUUCACUAUAUUCAGUUAUAAUGGUCAUUAGAGUACUCUGCAUCAGCUUUCCUUGAUGCUCUCAUGAGUCUGAAUAGUAGCAAUUUAUUACCCACAGGGCCAUGCAGCUUCAAUCUCCAAUGGCACAAUGAGAUUUCUUUCAUUACUAUAGAGAUAUUUCGGUACGUUCAUUCACUUUCCCUGAAGUCAGAAAAACUGCCCCUGUGAGAAUUAAGUAUAGAAAAGCUUCACGCAAUACAAUACGCCUACUAAAUUUUUCUCUGCUAUUUUGCAGGAUUUCGAAACAGAUCAGACCAUUUUCUGAACCUUACCUAUGUUAGGAAGGUCUGGUCUGAACUGUCAUUUGCACCCUUACAUCCCCAGCAAACUGGGUAAGGUGAAGGAUCCGUUUAUGGCUUUCCUUGUCAAAGCAAAAACAAAAGAAUAUUCCAGAAGGCAAGUAAUAUGUACUUUCUCUAAGUGACCCAAGGGUCACCUAUGAAACAAAACAAUUUUUUGCCCAAGAGAGACAUGCCUUUUGAUUCAGGACUCCUUAAAAGCAGAACUAGAUGGUACCUGCAAUCUUGUAGACAAGCAGAGAACCAGUAUGUCACGUUCUGAAUCAUCAAAUGUUCUUUGAGACUUCUAUCUACAUUUGAACCAUUUCUUUAGAACAUAUCCUAAAUGCAUAGAAAAUAUAAACCCUUUUAUGUAUUUAUUUUGAACCAAUCUGUUCCACAAUCAACAUUUUAUAUCUUAAUUUUCAGUCAUUUUGUGCAAAAUAGGUGGCUACAAUGUGAGUUUCGAAACAACAUUCCUAGAGGUUCCCUCAUUCUUCCAUGAAACUAGUUGGUACCUGAACGAUUUAUAAAAUGGGAAAACACUGUUAUUAAACCGUUGUGACUCACUGGAGGCCUAUUCUUUAGGGCUAAGAAGUGGCUGAGUAAUGAGUCAGUCAUAAAGUUUGUGGCCUGUGCUAAAAUCAGAUGUGGUUGAGUUGCUUAUCCUAAUGCAGUCAGUAGGGACAGAGUAAGCAUAUCCCGGUAUGCUCCAACAGAGCAAUUAUUUUCUGCUACAACUGAAAUUAAUAAUCAAAUGCUGAGUGAAAAGCUCUGUCAUCAUUCAUCAGCAAAGAUUUGCGCACAGAGUUAUAAAAGUUUGCAAGAUCAAACGUUUAAAUAGGAAUGCAUUCUUUAUGCCAGCAAUGAACACUUUGAGCUCUUUCACACACCUGAAUGAAGUUUGCUUUCAUCUUCACUGCUGGCAGUUUGAGUUAUCACUGUAAAGAUCUAACUGUGGUAUGCUUGUAUUCAUUGAUAUUUACUUCACCUUUUUUAAAAUCUUCUUGGCUGCAAAGCUGUGCAAAAACUGGUGGGCUUUGCAGUGUGGGGGCCAGUAGGAACCUCAGGCAUUGCAUCCUGAAAAAUUCAGAAGGGAGUCCCACAGGCAAGGUGCAAUCCACAGUCAACUGCAGACUUGUUUGUGGUAGGCUAGGAAGUUGUGAGGAAGUAAAAAUCCAUCUACUCCUAAUCAAAGGUUCAUGUGACCUUUUCUAGCCAAAUGGCAGUGAGGUCCCUGAUAGGUCAUAGUGUAAGGAAGAGUAUAUGUGGUGUAAGAAAACAAAAUGAAGCUCACCCCACUACAGGGCAUAAGACAAAAAGAAUGAGCAAGAACAGGCUAAAAAUGAAUCAUAUUGGAUUCCUCAUAGUUCUAACAGAUGCCUUCUUAUUUAGCUGAAGACAGAGUUGAUAUUACUGCCGAACUUACAAGCUCUGUUAAGUAAAUUACACUGAUAGAUAAGAAGCUACAGAAAGUAAAAUAUAAAAGAGGGUUACAUUAUACUAAUAGCAUUAAAUCCCAGGAUUUAACAUGCACAGUUUAAAAUGUUAUCAAGAAGAGAUAGUCAAACUUGUUAAUUUAUUUCUUCUAGGCAUAAAAUGGCUAUUUUACCAAAAUGAUCUCCUUGGUACGUAGUACAUGCACUACCAGAAGUAAAGUCACUUUCCAUUUUUUUUUUAAUUUAUAUAUAUGUAUUUAUUUAUUUAUUUCAUGUGAGACAUGCAUCUCAGUCACAGAAUUGCAGUUGCAUACAAAACAGCUUUGACUGGGAAUUCACUUAGUGCUUCGUGAAUAAACCUUAUAUUAAAAACAUGUAUGCAUCCUGCAGUUCUGCUAACGCUUUCAAGUCACAUACUUAAGGACUCAUAUUCUAAAUGGUUAACCAUUUAGAUAUUCAAGAGCAUUGCAGUGAGCCUGGCCUAAAGCUCACGCAGCCUCUCUGUGCCCUUGAGAACUUGAUAUUUCAUGGUCACCCCAUUAGCAAUUAGUCCCCCACUACUGCAAUGGCAUGAUGUCCCCAAGGAGUAAAAGAGCAGAAGGGGGAGAAGAAAUGGAAGAAAUGCAUCUGAAACAGGUUCCAUCCUUGUUUUUGUAAAAAUCUUCCUGAUUCUGCGUCUCUCAUUCUAAUACAAACUUGAUCUCAUUAGAAAAACCUGAAUGCUUGAAAAUAUCUUAUUUUUAUCUGUUUAUUUAUUUAUGUAAGAAGGAGUUAAAUACAUAAAAGCGUUAGAAAUGCACAUGUUUCAGAAAUUUAGAAGAAAAGGGGAGUCAGCAGGUAGGGGAGCCAACAAGCAUUUCCCCCAGGUCUGUUUCCUUUCCUGAUCAGUUCUCUGGUUGCCAUUUGUGGCAAUAAUAAUCACGUAUGCCUUUAAAUGAUCACAAUCCCUACAUGAUGUCAGACUUUCUGGUUGAAAACUAAAGCUAUAGCUCAGCCUAGGGAUUAAUACCUUAACAAAUGAUAAAACUAAUAAAUGGACAUUCAAAAGAAAACUGCUCUGUAACUUCAAAGGGGUCCUGAUCAGAUUCAAAAGCUAGAAUUUGCUUGAAAUUUUCUUUUAACUCUUUGUAGGACGCUGCAGUGCAUUUGGAGAAGCUCAAGCACUUGUUUCAGGCUCCCUAAAAGCUGAGCCCAUACGCAUGAUGAUGUUACCAUCUGCUGGACUCCAGGAGGAAUGCAGCAAUCCAGGCAAAUCCCUCUGCUGCUUGUUGCAGCAAGGCAAGCCACCUGCUCUCUCCAGCAUCCCUAAAGCAAUAUGGAGAGGCAAAUAGGCACCCAGCAGUCAUCUUGUAGUGGCCACACAUCAGGGAUAUGGAUCCUGACCACUGAUUUUGUUGUUUGGGUGCUGGAAUGGGGAGCCAGGCUUGGAGACCAGGUAUUUGCUGGAGGCUGCUCAGGAGCACGGGCCUGCAGGACCCUUUGGACUGCACCAAGGCACUCUAGACCCACUACGGGACAGGGCGCUGACUUAGAGAAGCAUAGAGUAAAAGGGAGGAAGGCUUCAACAUGGUGUCAGUGUGUGCUGAAAGCUUAACAAGCGGUCAAGUGCCCUAUCUGGAUGGGAGGCCAGGGCAAACAGAAAGUCCAUCAUUAGAUACUGGUAGCUUAAAUAGGUGUAUUGCUCCCCGCACUCUCCACAGUAGAAGCUGGUUUUUUUUGCUAGGGAUCUUCUACACUUAGGAAAAACUGAAACAAACAUUUGACUUAUUUGCUGUUUUCUGUUUGGAAUUUUUAAAUGACAGCAAGUAAUUGCUCAGUGGAACAAAUGACAAUUUUAUAAUCAUCUCCCAGUUGUCAGGGGAGGAAGAGCAAUACAACACUGCUCAACAUUUCUGCAACUGGAAGACAAAUUAAGAAGUCACCUUAAGCUGAUAGGUAGAAUACUAUACAUGGCAAGUGAUUAUAUUUCAGUUAUCUGGCUUAUACUCCUGAGCACCAAAAUUACUUUAACAAACAAUCGUUCUUAGCAAAUGACUGUAAAACGUCUUACCUCAUCAAAAUCACUGGCACAUCCACUGGUACUUCUCAGAACAAGCAUCAAAGCUCAAGGACUGUAUAUUAUGUUAAGCGGUUUAAUAUUGGAUAUAAAACAGUGGCGCUGGUGCUAGGGAAAGAACUACAGCUGAGGGAGGUCAUGGGCAAUCGAGGAUAGGGGAAAACUUGAUAUUUAACUUCGUCUCCCAUCUGCAGUAUUUAAUCACUUGAUAUAAUAUAUAAAUCCUUGAUCUUUGAUAUUUGGAGUACCAAAGGAAUUGUCACAUUUUCAGAAGCAUCUUUUCUGUCCAAAGGAACACUAGGUGGAAAGGAUCAAUUGGUAAUGCUGUGACUGAAUAAAGUGCUAGAGAAAAAAACCUCAAAUAAAAUAAUGUAGCUGCGCUCAGCACGGCAGCUGUCUAAUUUUCAGCUUCCAAGCACUUACCACUACUGGUGGUCUAUUCAAGGUGAAUCUGCUGUGUAAUGUCACGAUAUUCAACAGAGGAAUCUUCUGUGCAUUUGCUAUGCGUGUUAAAAUUAAAAAACAAAGGACAGAUCUACAGUACUCUCAUCUAAAUAAACUUUGCAAGGCUGUGCUUUUAUCAAAUUAGCUAGAGUGAAAUCUGCUUUCAUGGCAAAUACAAACUUAGAGGAAACAGAUACCUGAAUUGUCAGGCUAUUUAUGUACUUUUGCUUGCUCUUUUCCAAAUUAUAUUCAGCUUUAUUUUUUACCAAGGCAUUUCUUGGACUAAGCCAACUUCUAUAAUCCCCAUUUCAGUCUAGGGCUGAUAUACAGAUGGAUUACAGAUUCUCAUUCAGCAGUUAUAUGCAUGUGUGAACCAAAGAGAGUUAAGUAUGAGCAAGGGUGUUUGGAGAAUUCAUGUCUUGUUCUGCAGCCUGUACCAGGGCAAGUCCACAGAAGGGAAUGAGAGACACUAAUGUAAAACUGGGGUAGGUGAUACAAGCCCAGUACUCGUGUUCUGCAAUAUAACUAAGCGAACACAAGGAGUGCAAGGCUGAUAUUUCUAACCAUCAAAAGAGACAAAACUGCCUGCCCCAAAGAAGGAGGCUGCAAUCACUUUCUUUUCCAAGGGCUAGAAAAAUAGUCACUUCUUGUUUGAACAAAAGUCUGUCAGGAUCAGAUAAAUGAUGAGAAGUCUUCUACAUUCCAGUCCCCGGUCUGAGUCAAUAGAGGAACACCCAAGCUCUUCAGUGUUGCCACCAGUGUUGGAAAGGGGAGACUCUCUGAUCUGACUUAUAAAGAACAAAUUAUCACAGUGACACAUGCCCACUCCCAUUUUAAAAUCUCCAGGUGCUAAAAAUGCUGCAAGCAGUGGUAGAAACAGAAGGACAGUUCUGCAGUGCAGGUCAUGCUGCUUCCAAUGCUCCUGGUUAGAAAUGGGUGCCUGAUCAAUCUGCUUGCAAAUGUUUUAGGAUGAGGUCUUCUGACAUUUUCUUCCUUGUAUACCUUUUGUUUCUCUGGGUGACUUUACCUCAAGCAGCAUUUGUAAACUCUUUGUAGAUAACUUUCCUACAAUUGCUGCUCAGCCUCAUUGCUCAGUGCUGGCAUUAAUAGAGGACACGAUUUGUCUUUAAUAUUUAAAAGUUAUUGUCUAUCUUCUAGACCUUUUCAAUAGAUAGAGUUGACCCUUCCCAAGGGUAGGGAAAUGUACUGUGUGUUUCUUGCUUUUGUAGUAGCCUGGGUUCCGCAACACUUGCAGCAUAGACAGGCAAACAUAUUUCUUUCAUAGUGAAAAGAAAUAAGCAGCUCCCUGUAGAAAUGCACAGGACCAUCUGCAGCUUGACGGGUCAUUGGGUCCCAGGCUGAAGAGCUGUAAACCCAGAAGUCAUCAUCCAAAUACUUAAAACCAGCUGAGACACUGCAAGAAAUCCUUCAUCCAGUAGCACACAGUUCCUCAGCCUUUUCACCUGAGGCUUGAUAAUGCAUGGGAUAAUGUGUAUCUGAGCAUCUAUUCCAGGAAGAGAAUGAAAUGUACAAACUCUGAGCUCCAGUAAAUACAAUGCCUAGCUCAGCUCUUGUGGAGAUAAGGAGAACUUCAGUGAAAGGUCAUUUCAUUCAGAUAAUUAGAUCCUGCUGACGUUUUCUGUGGGAAUAAGUUGAGGAGGAGAGUCAGUGAUUCUAGCUGUUGCUCAGAUACUGACUAUUAAGUAAUUGCAGCUUACUGUAAAUAAAGGUGACAUGGAACGAUGCUUUUAUUUGUUGUGACUUUAUUUUUGCAAAGUCUGUAAAUAAAAGUUGCUUUUUUUUUUUUUCAGUUAAACUACUAAUUUUUCAGAGCCAUAUUGUUACAUGCCACAGAACGCUCCAAGGCAAGGAUCUGCCUGAACUCAGACGGGAGGCCUGGAAGGCCAUCUUAGGAGCUGUAAGGAGAUGCAGGAUGUUUAGGUGGGCUGGAAAGAGUGGCGGGUUCUUAGGGGAGUGCCGGAUAUGCUUACCAGCCAGCCACAUCUUCACGAGGUAUAGGAUCUCCCCCAUCCCUAAAUUACCAAAAACUUGUCUGCUAUAUGCAGAAAUCAUAAAGAGCUGCACUACAGCUUCCAGCCAGUGUAGUACAGAGAAGUGAUAUACUUCGGGUGUAAAAUGGCACAGGGGAAACUGCUCUUAGAGUAUUCAUUUCAGGUAUGAUGAACCCAUUGUCCAGCAGUUUCUGCACACGAUGAACUAACAGAACUCCUAAACUGCUGGCUCUUCCUUCCAUCACCAGCUUGCCACUUGAAUUUCUCAUGUAUCUGCAUCCUUUAUGCAAGGAAAUGUUCUUCAAAAGGCUGUGAAAUUUGGUGUUUGCAAGAUGCUUGAGAUUCAAACCUUGCAGUAGCAACAUUUCUUAUUGUUAAAGGCCUGAAAGAUAUUGCAAAACUGUUUUCUUAAUAAAGCCAUCAUAACAGUCUCAGUAUACACUGAACUAUUUCUCCUACCACCCUAGUCAGAUGGUGGGCUAUGGUUCAUGUUAAAUGUGUUUGGAAUAGAGGCUUUCAUCAGAAGUAAUCUUCUGGGAGUCUUUGCAUGUUUGUGAAAGUCGAAUGCACAGAUGUGGCUGAUAAGUAAGGAAAUUGCUGUAUUAUUUAAUGUAGAUGUUAACGAAGAUGUUCUCUGUCUCUCCCAGAUGCAACAGCAUUUGUCUUUAUAAUUGUAUUCAGUUGCAGCAAAAUCUUUUUCUCUUUUCCAUCUAGAGAUUAGA